CCGGCCUACGGCAGGGACCCGGCCCCGGGCCCCCGGCCGCAGGCUCCCCAAGUCCAACGUGGAGGCUCCGCCUGGAAAAGAAGUCCGACUUCCUCUCCACGCUGCUCCGAGGGGAAUCUGGACUCAGCAGGAAAUUGUUCGAGCGCCCAGCCUGCGCCUUUACAGUCAGCCCUCGCUCUGCUGAAGAGAAGCAGCUCCCACCAAAGUCUUGCCUCCCCCUCCCCCCGAAAGCCCCGCGCAGGUUUGUAAGGAGGGUGCGAGAUCUGCAAAGUAUUUGUCUUCGAGGGAGAAAGAUGUCGGUGACGGUGCCCAAUGAAAGACGGGUGUUUUUUAGCUAGAGAUAACCAACGGGCCACGUCUUGUUUUGCAGUCCAAAAUGAUGCAAACGCUGCCGUCUGAGGAGUCAGUAUCAGGAGUGUAUUAAUUAUGUUAGUGAAAUAGGAAAUAAAUGGGCAGUGACACAUUUCGUGGCAUCAUUUUUCCUCAGGGAUGUCUAAGGUUUUAAGCUUCAUUUAAGAAUGAGCUACGUUCUGCCAGGAAGUAAAUAUUUUUCAGUAACCCCUUGCUAAAGCCCAGAAGAGAGCAAAGAUCCAGUCUAGCAUUCACAGCAGCCACUCACAAGUGUCACUCAUCUUGCAAAACCCAAAGAGGGUAUAAUUACAGUCCCUGCUUUAAGAAUUUUACUCCCUAGUAGUGAGUCUGUGAUAUCAACAUCAUUACCCAGGCAAUGAAGGUCAUAAUGGAUUUUUUUUUCCCUGAAAGAUGAAAAGAACACAGGGGACACGGGUUCGAUCCUUGGUCCGUGAAGAUCCC
This is a long non-coding RNA of Balaenoptera musculus (blue whale), 813 nucleotides long. RefSeq lists it as uncharacterized. The transcript is spliced from 3 exons. The record is from RefSeq and is a predicted model, not a curated record. NCBI's taxonomy places the organism in Eukaryota, Metazoa, Chordata, Mammalia, Artiodactyla, Balaenopteridae.